RNAcentral lists this ribosomal RNA (636 nucleotides) under uncultured bacterium. Its description in RNAcentral is "bacterial SSU rRNA". It matches the Rfam family "Bacterial small subunit ribosomal RNA", at positions 814 to 1450 of the family's 1533-position model. The record is from RNAcentral.
AACUAGCCGUUGGGACUCUUGAAGUCUUAGUGGCGCAGCUAACGCACUAAGUUGACCGCCUGGGGAGUACGGCCGCAAGGUUAAAACUCAAAUGAAUUGACGGGGGCCCGCACAAGCGGUGGAGCAUGUGGUUUAAUUCGACGCAACGCGAAGAACCUUACCUGGCCUUGACGUGCAGAGAACUUUCCAGAGAUGGAUUGGUGCCUUCGGGAACUCUGACACAGGUGCUGCAUGGCCGUCGUCAGCUCGUGUCGUGAGAUGUUGGGUUAAGUCCCGUAACGAGCGCAACCCCUAUCCCUAGUUGCUAGCAGUUCGGCUGAGAACUCUAGGGAGACUGCCGGUGACAAACCGGAGGAAGGUGGGGAUGACGUCAGGUCAUCAUGGCCCUUACGGCCAGGGCUACACACGUGCUACAAUGGUGCGUACAGAGGGCUGCAAACCCGCGAGGGGGAGCUAAUCUCACAAAACGCAUCGUAGUCCGGAUCGGAGUCUGCAACUCGACUCCGUGAAGUCGGAAUCGCUAGUAAUCGCGAAUCAGAAUGUCGCGGUGAAUACGUUCCCGGGCCUUGUACACACCGCCCGUCACACCAUGGGAGUGGAUUGCACCAGAAGUGGUUAGUCUAACCUUCGGGAGGA